CGUACACUCCUACGGGAGGCAGCAGUGGGGAAUAUUGCACAAUGGGCGCAAGCCUGAUGCAGCCAUGCCGCGUGUAUGAAGAAGGCCUUCGGGUUGUAAAGUACUUUCAGCGGGGAGGAAGGCAAUACGGUUAAUAACCGUGUUGAUUGACGUUACCCGCAGAAGAAGCACCGGCUAACUCCGUGCCAGCAGCCGCGGUAAUACGGAGGGUGCAAGCGUUAAUCGGAAUUACUGGGCGUAAAGCGCACGCAGGCGGUCUGUCAAGUCGGAUGUGAAAUCCCCGGGCUCAACCUGGGAACUGCAUUCGAAACUGGCAGGCUUGAGUCUUGUAGAGGGGGGUAGAAUUCCAGGUGUAGCGGUGAAAUGCGUAGAGAUCUGGAGGAAUACCGGUGGCGAAGGCGGCCCCCUGGACAAAGACUGACGCUCAGGUGCGAAAGCGUGGGGAGCAAACAGGAUUAGAUACCCGGGUAGUCCCAUG
RNAcentral lists this ribosomal RNA (478 nucleotides) under uncultured organism. RNAcentral describes it as "partial 16S ribosomal RNA". It matches the Rfam family "Bacterial small subunit ribosomal RNA", at positions 330 to 799 of the family's 1533-position model. The record is from RNAcentral.